GAGUUUGAUCUUGGCUCAGAUUGAACGCUGGCGGCAUGCCUUACACAUGCAAGUCGAACGGCAGCACGGGAGCUUGCUCCUGGUGGCGAGUGGCGAACGGGUGAGUAAUGCAUCGGAACGUAUCCUGGAGUGGGGGAUAACGUAGCGAAAGUUACGCUAAUACCGCAUAUUCUGUGAGCAGGAAAGCGGGGGACCUUCGGGCCUCGCGCUCUUGGAGCGGCCGAUGUCGGAUUAGCUAGUUGGUGAGGUAAAGGCUCACCAAGGCGACGAUCCGUAGCAGGUCUGAGAGGAUGAUCUGCCACACUGGAACUGAGACACGGUCCAGACUCCUACGGGAGGCAGCAGUGGGAAUUUUGGACAAUGGGGACAACCCUGAUCCAGCCAUGCCGCGUGAGUGAAGAAGGCCUCGGU
This 411-nucleotide ribosomal RNA is filed under the name bacterium enrichment culture clone ALO1_GLFRUDD03G3OLR. Its description in RNAcentral is "bacterial SSU rRNA". It matches the Rfam family "Bacterial small subunit ribosomal RNA", at positions 9 to 423 of the family's 1533-position model. The record is from RNAcentral.